UACGGAGGGUGCAAGCGUUAAUCGGAAUUACUGGGCGUAAAGCGCACGCAGGCGGUUGGUUAAGUCGGAUGUGAAAUCCCCGGGCUCAACCUGGGAAAUGCAUCUGAGACUGGCAAGCUUGAGGCCCGAAGAGGGAAGUGGAAUUCCCGGUGUAGCGGUGAAAUGCGUAGAUAUCCGGAGGAACACCAGUGGCGAAAGCGGCACCCUGGUCAAAGACUGACGCUCAGGGACGAGAGCGUGGGGAGCAAGCAGG
This 253-nucleotide ribosomal RNA is filed under the name uncultured bacterium. RNAcentral's name for it is "partial 16S ribosomal RNA". It matches the Rfam family "Bacterial small subunit ribosomal RNA", at positions 524 to 776 of the family's 1533-position model. The record is from RNAcentral.